This 307-nucleotide ribosomal RNA is filed under the name uncultured eukaryote. RNAcentral's name for it is "partial 18S ribosomal RNA". It matches the Rfam family "Eukaryotic small subunit ribosomal RNA", at positions 1470 to 1796 of the family's 1831-position model. The record is from RNAcentral.
CCCUUAGACGUUCUGGGCCGCACGCGCGCUACACUGACGAAGGCAACGAGCUUUCCUUUACCGAAAGGUACGGGUAAUCUUUUGAAACUUCGUCGUGCUGGGGAUAGAUCCUUGCAAUUUUUGAUCUUAAACGAGGAAUGCCUAGUAAGCGCAAGUCAUCAACUUGCGUUGAUUACGUCCCCGCCCUUUGUACACACCGCCCGUCGCUACUACCGAUUGAAUGGUUUAGUGAGGCCUUCGGAUCCGCGACUCGUUUGUGGAGAAGUUGGACAAACUCAGUCAUUUAGAGGAAGUAAAAGUCGUAACA